Long non-coding RNA from Felis catus (domestic cat), 2334 nucleotides. RefSeq lists it as uncharacterized. The record is from RefSeq and is a predicted model, not a curated record. NCBI's taxonomy places the organism in Eukaryota, Metazoa, Chordata, Mammalia, Carnivora, Felidae. The transcript is spliced from 2 exons.
GUUAAGGAGGGCACUUGUUGGGACGAGCACUGGGUGUUGUAGGUAGGGGAUGAAUCACUGGAAUCUACUCCUGAAUCAUGAUUGCACUAGAUGCUAACUAACUUGGAUGUAAAUUACAAAGUACAAAUAGUCAUUUCCUUUUUCCCAAUGUACAACCACAUCAUCACAUUAUAGUGCGAUUUGGGCUUAUAUUGUUUACGUCUCCGGGGUCCGAGAGGUCCUGGGGAUGGUCCUUGCCCGAGAGUCACUUGCCUACAGGAGCGAUUGCAGGACCUCCGAUGCUAGCCAUCGGCACUGACCCAGGACAGUGGCACAUCCCCCCCCACCUGGGAGCCUGGCCUACUGCGGAUCCCGAGCAUGGAGCAGUCACGACCCGGGCGACUACUGAUGUCUUUGUUUUCCAGCCCUCGGCUUCCUGACACUAUUUUUAAUAGCUCUGCCACAAUCAUGUAAUAGCGUCAUGUAUGAGGUCAUUGGGGUCCAGGACACCAGAGGGGUUGGGCAGAGACUUGAAAGAGCCGCGUGAGGCAGCACGUCCCCGGGGGGCCCACUGAGGGCCGCGUCGUGGAGCUGAGAUCGCAUGGCGGAGAAACGGAAACGCAUCGCCUGGUCGCUGCAGCAGAAGACAACGGUGUUGGGAUCGACGUGUCCUGACGGCGUUUGCAUUUGACCAGCGGGAUGGCGGAACGUGGGCUCGUGUCUGCAGAGGAGGGUCGGUUUGUCAAUGGGAAGGAAGGGUUGAUAUACUUAGGGGGUGACAGCCUCCUUUCCGCCCCUCCCCCUCUUUGUGACAGCGGGGACGGUCAUAGUGAUGUCACACUUGGUCUUCGUUUUCAGCCCAAGACACCACAGCUUCUCCACCGACACUCAAAACACCAGAGAGCAGGUGUCAGAGGGCCAGAGAAAUCUUUAAAAUGCUGAGAAGGAAACACGUUGAGAGAGAAGGAGAGCAGCUGGGUGCUGGGUCCAUCUGUCUGGUUCGUCUGGGAUCCGCGCGUGCGUUGGGCCCCAGCAGGAAGCUGAACCCCCUCAUUUGGGCCCCUGCAGAUGUUUUGGGGACUGUCGCUGACUACGCUGACUUCGUGACACAGGAUUUCCUUCCUGAGCGCCUGCGACGAAGGCGUUCUCUGGUCUCAACCAGGAAGAGCUUCGUCAGUCUCCCGAGAGCACGCCGUGUGUCCUGGGCUCGAACCCGCUUCCCUCUGCCCUAGAACCUUCCACUCUCAGUUCAGGCGUUUUCUGGAAUUGUUGAGACACUUGAUAUCCUCUUUGGAAACAGUGGCACGUGAAUAAACAGUUAAAAACUCCAGGGGCGAAGUCUUUGGCAGUGGCUGACCUUGGGCAAGUGUCCUGUGGCUUCGUGGCCCGGUUUUCGCCAGCAGCCGUGUCGUGCAGCGUGUAGGCCCUGGACUCUGGCCACUGGGGGUCACGUCUUCAGUCUAUCACUCACCUCCCAUUUGAGCUAAGACGCGUCACCUGAUCUCCCUGCUGGUCGUUUGCUGCUCGAUGACCCAUCCCAUUUCUUCGCCUGCUUCAUGUAACUACAGGAAACGCACUUGCCUUUGCCGCCCUGAAUUUUAGUGCCGAGAGAGUCCGUGUAUUUGUUACACAUAUUGCUGUGUAACCAAUUAUCCCCCAAUCCAGCAAAUUAAAGAGCGCACAUACAUCAUUUCGUAGUUGACUAUUCCCUGGAAGUCAGGAACCCGCAAGGGCCCCGCCGGGUCGUCCGGUUCGGGCUGCCGGCAACGGUGUCAUCCGAAGGCUCCACCGGGGAAGACAGGCUCCAGCCUUGUGUGGUUGAUGCCGUUCCGUGCUGCAAGGGCUGUCGGACACACCGUGCUGUUUGCUCCCUCGAAACCGGCAAGAGAGAUGCUCCUCAAGCAUCACAAAGGCCGCGAUCUCUCGAGCCCGGUGUGGCACAGUAGAGAUUCCAGUCCUUUCUCCUGCUUCUGGGAGACAACCUCUGAAUCUUUGAAACCCCUUCGAAACCCUGUAGAAGCGAAACUUCUUCGAGUUUCUGCCGAUGAGGUGACCCAGGGCACACAGUCUGGCAGACGAACCACGUGCCGGGGCAGGGAGGGGCAACUUUGGCUUGAACUUGAACUCCUGUGAGAACAGGCUGGAGAGGGAGUCCAGUCACACCAGACACUGAUGGAGGGAAGCUCCGGCAAGAUCUCUGGACGCUACAGUUCAGGCGAGCUCUCUGGGGAGCCCAGCAACAUGUCCUUCCUCCACGGGGACAGGACCUGGGGAGUCCGCACUGGGACCUGCUCCAGCUUUGCCCUGUCCCAACGUGUACCCUUACAACGAUAAUUAUAGGUACAGUACUUCUGA